GCUAAAAAUCUUUAUUUUUUCCAACCGAACUAUAGGAGAUUCAGGCAAAAAGAGCUCUUCAGAACUCUGUAUUUCCAGCUGCACUGGCAAUGAAGAGGUGGAGUACAAGCCUCUCCCUGGUGGUCUAAGAAAUGGUACUAAAAAAGAGACUAGGACAUCUGGAGAUGCAGAGGUGAGUUUAUGUUGUUAGUUGUAUUCCCAUCUAUCUAAGCUGUUGGAGUAAUUUCUUGUAACCAUCCCAAGUCCCAGUCCUUAAGAAUGUUUACUGGAAUGACCUCAUCCCUUUUGUCUCUGUCUGGAUUGCAUUCCUUGCACUACAGAUUGCCAAACAUUACACAGCAACCUGUUCGAUAGCAUACUGGGUUUUGAACUUAUUGCAGGUACGAUCUUGCUCUAAUCCUUGGUUUACACACAUUUUGAACUUACUGAGAUGUGGUUACAAAAUUUAAGUACAGUAGUUAUUUGAUUUAAAAGAAUUACACUGUUUACAUUUGGGACAACAGAUAGGAAUGUUAUCUCUUUACAGCUAGUUUACAAGAAUAUGUUAUAGUCUGUUUUCCAUAAUUUUUUAGUACUUGGGCCCCAUUCAACUCAACCUGCAUAUUUUCUGACCGAGCAACUCAAAGAGUUUUUAAGAUUACUUCGAUAAGAGAUGAAUGCUCCUGAGAAGCCUGGUUUUUAAUGUGUUGGAGUAUCAAAUGUCUGUCUAUUGAUAUCUCUCAGAUCCUAGUUGUUGUUGGGGUGUCUCUACGUGAGGUAGUUAGCUUAUACAAAGGUAGAA
Long non-coding RNA from Magnolia sinica, 781 nucleotides. RefSeq lists it as uncharacterized. The transcript has 3 exons. Lineage: Eukaryota; Viridiplantae; Streptophyta; Magnoliopsida; Magnoliales; Magnoliaceae. The record is from RefSeq and is a predicted model, not a curated record.